Molecule: transfer RNA, 74 nt
Filed under: Chlorella variabilis
Lineage: Eukaryota; Viridiplantae; Chlorophyta; Trebouxiophyceae; Chlorellales; Chlorellaceae
Description: tRNA-His
Rfam family: tRNA
About the family: Transfer RNA (tRNA) molecules are approximately 80 nucleotides in length. Their secondary structure includes four short double-helical elements and three loops (D, anti-codon, and T loops).
Source: RNAcentral
GCGGAUGUAGCCAAGUGGUUAAGGCAGUGGAUUGUGACUCCACCACUCGCGGGUUCAACUCCCGUCAUUCGCCC